AAUAGGUUAAGAAGUUCAUCUUAAAACAGAGAUGAUUAGAGGGCCUACAGGUGACCCCUAUCUAGUAAAGGAGAAAGUCCGUUCUAAGAAUGGGGAUGAUUUGACUUAACAGGACAUCAAAUUUAAAAAUGCCCAAAAAAUAAAAUGCUGGGUGACAAAAAUGUCUUUGAAAAAUUAAUUGAAUAUUGAUUGGGAAUAAUUAAAUUUUUUAUUUUAUUUUUUUUUUAUUUUGGAAUAUAUAUGAAGUAUUGUAUUGUAUUGAAGUGAAUUAAAUGUUUUAUUGAAUAAAAAUCUUUAGUGAAGAAUAAGUUGGUUUUGUGUAGCAUCAAAUGGGCGGUAUCCAGAGGCGUAGCUGUUGGGUCUUUGAGAGAAUGUAACUCCGCCCAGUAUUCCAACACUCAGGCUUUAUGGAAUUGGCGCGAGCGCACGAGAAUACAAACCACACAUAUAGUUAAUAAAAUACACGCACAUCCACGCACAGUCGUAUCAACGUCGUCGGAUACACGCAAAUAAAUAACGAGUCGAUCAAAAGAAAAUUUAUUUCCAUCAACUUCAACAUUUAUUACCAUAAUUCAAAAUUAUUAAUAAAUUUAAUUGUCUAUUAAAAUCUAUAUAUAUUGCACCAAUUAAAUAUGUGUAUAAAAAUUUUUUGCACGGGCUUUGAAACAGUAGCAAAGUUGCUGAUUCACGUUAAUCAAAGCUCGUACUCUUUGAAUUAAGUAUAUCUUACAUACAUUUUAUAUAUGUAUAUAUAUACAUAUAUGUAUGUAGUGGAAUGAGAGACGAGUAUACCACCAGAGUCGAGGAGAACUGUGAGGAUUUUUCGGUCGCAACGUCUUACAAGACACGUACUACAUCCUCGGACGUAUAUAUAUAUAUAUAUAUGUAUAUAUAUGCGGAAUAGAGAGUAAAAGAGAAAGAAAGAGAGAUAUGGGUUGUAUGGUGUGAUACAGAAUCAGGAUCCUGGCGCGCGCGCGUCAACAGAGUGAGAGAGGAGGGCAAGGUCGGUGAGGAUCAAAGAAGCGAAUCGGACGGGUGAGUGUUAGCGGCGUCCCAUUAGCUCCCACUGACUACGAUCACCACAUGCACACACAUACUUUUUAAAUUAUAUCCUCUUUACUUACUCUCUAUAGCAUACAAGCCACGAUAGGUUGUGUUGUACCUUAACUUGUACACCCGGAUGAGUAGAUGAGAGGAAAAAGACACGGAGGUGUGAGAGGAUUAUAGAGGAAAGACCAUGUGAGGAUCGCGAGGAGCUGAGACCGGGUUAAGGGAAUUUAGUAGAGGAAGAAAAAGACCAUGUUUAAGUCUUGCAACACAUUAAAUAAAUAAACGUCGAUAAAAAAAAUCUACUUGUCAUUAAAAUCGAUAGGAAAUUUUUUUUUUUAUUUUCAGAAGAUUUGAAAUUUUUAUUGAUAAUUAGAGCUAUAGGUAAAGACUUGUAGUAGUUAUAUAUUUAAUUGUAAACAAUAAAUAUCUGUAAAUGACAUAUUUUGUCUGGUGAUAUAUAUAUAUAUAUUGGAGUAAGCUUAUGACAAUAGAUGUCAAUGUUUUGCUGAAAGAACAAUGAAAAUAAUAAGUUUUAAAUUGAUAAGGAAUAGAGUAGUGUCAACUGCAGUAAGUCAUUAUUCCUAAUUGAAAUAAUUGAUUGUUAAGCCCUUCAUUGUAUGUAUAUAUGUAUUAUUAUUAUUUAUAGAUUUUCCUAUAUAUGGAUAAUAUAAAAACGGAUGUCCAUAUUAUUGUUUAGUCGUGAGUAUAUUCGAAUCUUGUUCGGCAAGUUCGUAGAUCCAAAAGGAUAAUAAAGGAAAGCACGUUGCCGAUAAGAAAAAAAAGAGAUGGACAUAUAUGUAUAUAUGUAUGUAUGUAUAUAUAUUCGUAUAAGGCACAAUGACGGGUAUGGUUACAGUGAACGGCGCCGGGCCGCGUGUCAGGGUUGUCUGGUUGGCAGUUCAGAGGCACCGACCUGGUGUCCCGCGCGUUCCUUUGGUAUUUCAUUAACACCUCAGCUAAUUAUUUUCAUCCUUUUUCCUCAGGCACAUCCGGACCGUUAAUUUUGUCUCCAGAGAAUAAUCGCCGCUGGAUACUCGUACUCCCAUAUAACCCAGCCCAUUUUCAACAUAAUCUUAAAAUUUUUUAUUGUUAUCUUUUUAUUUUUAAAAUUUUAUUCAGGUGGUUUUGGAGUCGCUUUAUUAGCUCAACGAUAUUGCGCCCUCCCACUGAGAUCAAGAUGAGGCCGAUGGUAUCAACGACACGAUCGGCGAGAACCUGUGGACUACUGUUGGUUCUUUAGAUUCACAGUUUUGCUGAAUGAAAUGAAUAAUUUGUGGGCACAAAUUAACGCACAUUAUAUGUAUAUAAAUAUGUAAAUAUAUGAGAGGAGCUGAGCGAGCUGAUGAAGAAAAAAAUGAAACAAAAAAUCAAGACCUGGAUCUAAGUUUAGGACAUACAAGAGUCUCGAUGAACCCGAGAGUAGAGAGUGAGCGAGAGAGAGAGAGUGAGUUUGUGCCCUGGUCAUCCCGCAUCUCCACUACCCGUCCGUUAUCCCUGGUCGAAAUUUAUGUAGGUGUUGGCCGUGGCUUUUAUCAGCGACCGGCAUUCCUCUGGGUCCAAGCCGGCGCCCUGGCGUCGCCAAAGAUCAGGUUCUAAUUCGUGUGUGACUCAGAUCAACAGUUUUCAAGUUAACGUUGGACCGGCGACCCUCUCUUAUAAUAUAUAUACUAUACUCUUUUAUAUAUAUAUUCUUAGUCUCUUGUCUUACUUAGUCGUCUCAAUCUCAAUCCGGCGGCUCAAUCUCAACGCUUCCGAUAUUUACAGCCGUCGGAGUAGUCUGUUUAUAAAAUAUUAACUUAAAUCCUGCCUUCUUUGCGCUUGGCGCCACAGUAAUAACAUUUUUGACAAAUAACUUAUUACCUCCCUUUAUAAUUAUCUUGACAACCUGCACGCCUUUUUAUUCAAAUGUAAAUAGACUGUCAGCAAGUGAUAAUUUAUUAUUGUGCCCUUUAAAUUAUUAUUUAUUACAAAAAUUAACUCUCCGCCCCCUAAUUAUCUUUUAAUAUUUUCAGGUAUCAGGACAAAAGUCUCCUGCAGAUUAGUAUUUUAUUCAAGAGCUUAAUGGCAAGAGGAAAAUAAAAAUGCUCCGAAACCACAACAAAUUCAGAUAGAGAAAACUGGACUCAAAAUUAUAAUAAAUUAAUAUUUUUUAAAAAUCCUUUUGGACAAUAAAGUAAGACCUUUUUUCAAAUGAUUCCUCUCUCUUUAUAUUCUGUAUUGAUGUACGACAUGCCAGGACGGAAAUAGUAUGUAUGUAUAUAUAUAAAUGUCUCAUUUUUACGAGCGUAUAUACCUGAGUGAAAUACAGACUACAAUAGUAAGCUGUUAAGGAACGGAGUGUUUGGUCAUUUAAAAGGUCUGGACAGUAAAAAAAAAUCCACAAGGUGUUUAACCGGCUGCACUGUUACCCUCCGUAGAAAAUUUGAAAACCCCCAAGGCGCGCUUGAUUUUAAUGACCGUCCAAUAAACUGUCCACCGAAACUUUGUACUUACUAAAAUAGUACACAAAAUACUGUAGAAAAAAAAGGAAAAAAUAACAUCUAUGAGGAAAUAAGUUACUGGCGCCAGGAUUAUUUACCGGAUGAGUUUCAAAGUUACAACCAUUGGUCUCACUAUCUCUACAAUCAGUGUCUUAUGGGCAUAAAAUAAAGAAGAAAAAGGAAAAUCAGGGACUUUGUUAAGACUUGACAAGAUUUACUAAGACUACAAGUCUUAGAUGAGUUACUGAUUGCCGUAAAAAUAAAUAAAUCCGUCAAUAAUGUCUGAGGAACCAUGAAGUUGAGACUGGCAAAUUAUUCAGCAUCUUUCCUUCAUAUAGUUCUUGGUAGAUUACAGCCACGUUCAAUAAACACAUGAAUAUGCGAGUGUGUCAUUAUCUCAUAUCAUAAAUUUAUGGAGUAUGUUCUCUAAAUACUCCACGUGUGUAUAAAAAUUAUUAUCCCCAUCAACAUUCUCGAAUAUUUAUAAAAUAUAAAAAAAAAAGGUAAGACAUUUAUUUUUCUUUAUUGAAAUAAAUUGGCUACCGAAAAUCUAAUCAUUCUAAUGUUUUUAGGAGAAAAGACUCUGGUGUUUUCUGUGUCCUGACAGUCAACAAGACAAACUUUUUCACCAUGACCAUCAGUACUCAGUGUGGGAAGUAGUAAAGUAAGCUAGCAUCUGAGGAAGAGAUUAGAAUUAGGGGAGAAGUAUAGGAAACGACAGUUGAGUAGCUGAGAAGGCGAACUAACUGAUGCGGAUCGAACCGGAAAGGAAAGGAAUCCGUAGGCCUAAUUCAAUUGCAAACCGCCGCUCCGCAAACACUCAUGAUAAUUCAAUCGAGUUGUGCAACCCGUAGUUACUCUGAAACUAUAAAGACUCUGCCCGCACGUACAACCCUCGUCUCCGCCUUAAUAUCAACCCCCUGUUCAUACCGACAGUCUCUUUACCUUUGCUUCUGUCUCUUUUUAAUUCUAUUUACAAUAUAUAUUAUAUAAAAUAAUAUAAUGUAUUACAUAAAAUAUAGACAAUGUAAAUGCAUGUCUAUAUAAAACUUGUGUGUUAUUUAACUUAGUAACCGGGGUAUUAAAAAAAUGGUUUGCUGGUAACUUUCCUAUAAGGAACAUCUGCAGCACAGUCGCAUGAUGAGACACAUAAUCAUCCCCUUGUUCCAAUCCAAAGGACUCAGCUUAUUUAUCACAACUACAGUAAUAAAAAUAAAUCACCUUGAUGUAUUAUUAGAUACUUAGCUCCGAAAAUUUAUCAUUUAAUUGACAAAAAAAAAUAAUUCGAAUAAGUAUUCAUUCACAUGCCCGCAAUUAUAUAUUCAAAUAAAAUACAAUUGAAUAUUGAGCAGUUGCAAGAUUAAAUGAAAUAUUUAUAAUCAAUAUCAACGUCAUAAUUUCAUAUAUUAAUUGAUAACUAACACGGGGAUUAAUGAAACGUCAAUUAUGAGUUUUAAAUUUAUCGGUAAUUUGUAACGAUUCGAUUAAUUAAAGAUAUCGGAAAUAGUUUUCAUUUUGUAUAUGUUUCAAUUAUUGAGCUGUCGGUAAGUUGUGUUAUUUAUGACUGAGUUUUAUUUAUUUAUUUAUUUGUUUAUUUUAGGGAUUAAUUAUUUUU
Long non-coding RNA from Microplitis demolitor, 5145 nucleotides. RefSeq lists it as uncharacterized. The record is from RefSeq and is a predicted model, not a curated record. Lineage: Eukaryota; Metazoa; Arthropoda; Insecta; Hymenoptera; Braconidae. The transcript is spliced from 3 exons.